RNAcentral lists this ribosomal RNA (347 nucleotides) under Calonarius olearioides. RNAcentral describes it as "SSU rRNA". It matches the Rfam family "Eukaryotic small subunit ribosomal RNA", at positions 594 to 945 of the family's 1831-position model. The record is from RNAcentral. Lineage: Eukaryota; Fungi; Basidiomycota; Agaricomycetes; Agaricales; Cortinariaceae.
AUAGCGUAUAUUAAAGUUGUUGCAGUUAAAAAGCUCGUAGUUGAACUUCAGACCUGGCUGGGCGGUCUGCUUAACGGCAUGUACUGUCUGGCUGAGUCUUACCUCUUGGUGAGCCAGUGUGCCCUUUAUUGGUGUGCAUUGGGGAACCAGGACUUUUACCUUGAGAAAAUUAGAGUGUUCAAAGCAGGCCUAUGCCCGAAUACAUUAGCAUGGAAUAAUAGAAUAGGACGUGUGGUUCUAUUUUGUUGGUUUCUAGAAUUGCCGUAAUGAUUAAUAGGGAUAGUUGGGGGCAUUGGUAUUCAGUCGCUAGAGGUGAAAUUCUUGGAUUGACUGAAGACCGACUAUUG